ACAGUGGUUGCUGAAUUAGAGUUUGACAGCGUAAAAUAAUCCACACGCCCGACACGAUCGAAGAGG
This 66-nucleotide non-coding RNA is filed under the name unclassified sequences. Its description in RNAcentral is "cow-rumen-1 RNA". It matches the Rfam family "cow-rumen-1 RNA". Rfam says of the family: cow rumen metagenome. Environment (Cow rumen (57)) The record is from Rfam by way of RNAcentral.